Molecule: ribosomal RNA, 95 nt
Filed under: Pseudomonas sp.
Lineage: Bacteria; Pseudomonadati; Pseudomonadota; Gammaproteobacteria; Pseudomonadales; Pseudomonadaceae
Also listed under: 3 other names
Source: RNAcentral
GAACCACCUGAUCCCAUCCCGAACUCAGCAGUGAAACGAUGCAUCGCCGAUGGUAGUGUGGGGUUUCCCCAUGUGAGAGUAGGUCAUCGUCAAGA